GACGAACGCUGGCGGCGUGCUUGACACAUGCAAGUCGAACGGAAAGGCCUGCUUUCCCUUGUGGAUUGCGGGUACUCGAGUGGCGAACGGGUGAGUAACACGUGAGUGAUCUGCCCCCAACUUGGGUAUAAGCCUGGGAAACUGGGUCUAAUUCCCGAUAGGACUGCAGGGUGGUGCCUGUGGUGGAAAACGAUUUUCUAGUGGUUGGGGAUGAGCUCGCGGCCUAUCAGCUUGUUGGUGGGGUAAUGGCCUACCAAGGCGGCGACGGGUAGCCGGCCUGGGAGGGUGGACGGGCACAUUGGGACUGAGAUACGGCCCAGACGCCUACGGGAGGCAGCAGUGGGGAAUAUUGCGCGAUGGGCGGAAGCCUGAUGGAGCGACGCCGCGUGGGGGAUGACGGCCUUCGGGUGGUGAACUCCUUUCGACCGCGAGGAAGCCACCUGGUUGGAAGGGUGGUGACGGUAGUGGUAGAAGAAGCACCGGCUAACUACGUG
RNAcentral lists this ribosomal RNA (494 nucleotides) under uncultured bacterium. RNAcentral describes it as "partial 16S ribosomal RNA". It matches the Rfam family "Bacterial small subunit ribosomal RNA", at positions 28 to 507 of the family's 1533-position model. The record is from RNAcentral.